Long non-coding RNA from Alligator mississippiensis (American alligator), 684 nucleotides. RefSeq lists it as uncharacterized. The record is from RefSeq and is a predicted model, not a curated record. The transcript has 2 exons. Lineage: Eukaryota; Metazoa; Chordata; Crocodylia; Alligatoridae.
AGGUUCGUAGCAGGUAGAUCCUGCCUGACUAACCCUGUUUCUUUUUAUGACCAGGUCACUAAAUGCUUAGACGCAGGAGUCGAGGUAGAUGUCAUCUACUUUACUUUUGGACUACUACUUGGACUUUAAGAAGGCCUUCAACAUGUUCCAGAAAUGUCUCAACUUAUCUGCCAAAUCUGAGGAUCUGGAUGUACAAGGAACACAGAAUCAGGCCCUCUGUGAGAUACAAGCUCAAAUAUUGAGAGCUGCAUGUAGAGUUCUUUCAUGCAACAUGUCUGACUCUUUGUGUACCCAUAUUUCUAAACAUUUGCAUCAUAAUACACUGAUGUAAAAGGCAGCACAACACUAACAUUCAUAUUAAUCUUUAUUAAAUGAUGACCCCAGUUGCAAGGCCUUCUCAAGCACUGAACUUCUGGCAUGUGUCUUGUUGCACUUCCCUGGAAGACCAAGAGCAUUGAGUCAAAUGACAGUUGGUUAACUGUAUCUCUAGUGGCUUCAGAUGAUAUGGAAGUGAAUUAUUUAUCCCCUUAAAAACAGUCUGAUGCUUCCCUAAAAUCAAAUUAUUUUUGUUGUUAAAGUGUUACACCUUCUUUUAUGGAAGAAGUGCAUAUCUGGCUAUGACAUGAUUCCCUCUAGCUCAGCUUGAUCUUCCUCCUCAAAAUAAAAUAAAUGUGUUGCCAUGGA